Long non-coding RNA from Homo sapiens (human), 2244 nucleotides. Ensembl annotates it as PHACTR3 antisense RNA 1. Its record names the gene PHACTR3-AS1. Lineage: Eukaryota; Metazoa; Chordata; Mammalia; Primates; Hominidae. The record is from Ensembl.
GGGCCCAUUCUUCCCCAGCACACAGGCGACCCUGCCAGGGAACACGCAUGGCUCGGAGCUCCCAAGUACUCUCUCCUGGCAAGUGAGGAGUGUAAAUAAAUCUUGGGAGGAGGACAUGAGAGAGAAACACAGUCCCUGGAGGACAGCAUUCUGGAGUGGCCACAUGAGUUGGAAACUUCCAUGCCGAAGCCUUAAGAGCCAGCUUGCAGCAUUCCUGAAAGUGUAGCCACCUGCUCCAAUACAGCGCUCAUCACCCAACAUGCUGGUUGAUUGAAGCCACAGCUGAAGACCAAGGCAGAGCUGGUCCAAGGAAUUGUGAUGCAGGCACAAAGAACAUCUGCUGUGAACAACCUGCUCCAAACCACCAGCAUCUCUGACUAAAUGACCUUCGAAUCCUCCAGCACAAUCUCAUCUCACUCUGCAGCCAUUCAAAUCUUCAACGGGCAGCUCUGAAAAUAAAGCCCAAGUCUUCCCCCAGGCCUCGGCACCUCCCUGGGAUCCUCCCCUGGCCACCUCUUGGCAUUGUGGGCAUCAAAAACUUGCCCCUUUCCAUCACUCACUCAGCCUCACUGGUCUCCUUGUUCCUACCACACCCAAGCACAUGCCUGCUGCAGGGCCAUUGCACCUGCUGUUCCUGCUGCCCUAGUGCUCUUCUCGAGGGUAGUCACAUGACCAGCUCCCUCACUUUGCCUGGUCUCUGCACAGAUGCCCUGCUCUGAGGUCCUCUCUGACCAUCUAUCACAGACAGUUGGGCUCUCCUCCCUGCCAGUCUCAUUCCUCCAGCCUCACUUUAUCAUCACUCCAGGCAUCUAUAACCACCUAGAGUCCCAUCAUACAUCUAUUUCUAUGCUGUCUGUUUCCCCUCAUCCCACGAGACUACUCAUUCCAUGAAGGCAGAGACAUGAGUCGUCACUGCAACCUGCCAUAUAUAGCUAUAUGCAUACUCAAAAAACGGUGACAGGCUUAAAACAGGUGUCCAGUAAAUAUUUGUUGAAUGGCUGACGACCAUGAAUUCUGGAGGGAGAGUUCAGAAUGGUUUCAUUUUUAAAUUCCCUGCAGAGGAUUGCAAAUAAUAUUUCUGGCUCUGAACACCUGGGUCAGACCCCCUCUAAAGUUUGGUCCAGCCCUGGUACCCCAAGAUGGGCUGGCCUCUCCCCAGCACAAUAGAAGCACUAAGAUCUCUUGCAGCACAGAAAUCUCCACGUCCCUCACCACAAACCCUGAGGUAUUCGGUCACAGAUACAAGCGGUGCACCCUCCAAAUGCCACCCAGAUCUAGAACCAGCCAGAAACGAACAGAGAAGCCUCAUCUCAAAGUCAGCCCCUGCCCAGGAGCUCUCAGCCAAGAACCCCAGCGUAACAAGGGUGAGAAACAGCCCCGGGCUGUCACGCAAGACAGAGACGGUGCAUGCAGAGGAAAAGCCUGCAUGCCUCCGCAGGGAGGAUGUGCCCACUCUGACAUUGGGGUGAGAGGAGGAAAACUGGGCUCAGAGGGGGAAAGCUGGGCUCAGAUGGGCAAUGGGAGUUGGGCAAAUCCCUAAGCAAGAGAAGAAACCAAAGGCGGCCAGGGAGACAUCAGCAUGUUCCUCCUGCACAGCCAUGACAUCCUACAAAUGAUAUCUCUUAAUUUUAACAUCAGCUUUGGGAGAGGGCCAUGAAUAGAUUUCUAAAUAUAUUCCAGAGCAGAAUUAAGUGGGAUCUUCCAGUUUCUGAAAGUGACUUGCGGAGAGUGCAUCAGAUGGGAUGAGAACAUGACAUCAGCCACACAGGCAGCCGUACUGGGCAGCUGCCUGCCGGGCAAACCCCGUGCCCACAGAGACCAUUCUCAACCACUCCUCCCAACCACACCAGUUCCACGCACCUUCUCUAACAGGAAUGGGGCCUGCCUCAGGGUCAACUGAGGCCUCUAGCUAUCAGAUUCCAGAGAGAUCUCUGCAGACCCUGGCUCUAGGCAGAAUUUACAAAGAAAACAAAUGAGAAUCUAUUUCCAUGACUCAAGAUGCCCCGCAAGCAGAAGAGGAAUUUAAAAAGAAGUUCUGGAUUGAAGGACAUUCUACAGAACACCCUACAGGUGCUCCUCAAAACUGCUAAGGUCACUAAGAACAAGCAAAGUCAGAAAAGGCGUCACAGCAAGACAGCCUGAAGGUACAUGAUGUCCAGAUGUCAUGCGGGAUCUGGAUGGCAUCCUGGGAUGGAAAAAGGGCAUUAGAAAAAUACUAAGGAUGUUGGAAUAAAGUAUGAACUU